AACGAACGCUGGCGGCAUGCCUAACACAUGCAAGUCGAACGAGACCUUCGGGUCUAGUCGCGCACGUGUGUGUAACGCGUGGGAACCUGCCCUUAGGUUGGGAAUAACUGCCCGAAAGGGGUGCUAAUACCGGAUAAUGUCUUCGGACCAAAGAUUUAUCGCCUUUGGAUGGGCCCGCGUUGGAUUAGCUAGUUGGUAGGGUAAACGCCUACCAAGGCGACGAUCCAUAGCUGGUCUGAGAGGAUGAUCAGCCACACUGGGACUGAGACACGGCCCAGACUCCUACGGGAGGCAGCAGUGGGGAAUAUUGGACAAUGGGCGCAAGCCUGAUCCAGCCAUGCCGCGUGAGUGAUGAAGGCCUUAGGGUUGUAAAGCUCUUUUACCCGGGAUGAUAAUGACAGUACCGGGAGAAUAAGCCCCGGCUAACUCCGUG
RNAcentral lists this ribosomal RNA (433 nucleotides) under uncultured bacterium. RNAcentral's name for it is "partial 16S ribosomal RNA". It matches the Rfam family "Bacterial small subunit ribosomal RNA", at positions 29 to 507 of the family's 1533-position model. The record is from RNAcentral.